GACGAACGCUGGCGGCGUGCCUAAUACAUGCAAGUCGAACGAGAGCGACCGGUGCUUGCACUGGUCAAUCUAGUGGCGAACGGGUGAGUAACACGUGGGUAACCUGCCCAUCAGAGGGGGAUAACAUCCGGAAACGGAUGCUAAAACCGCAUAGGUCUUCGAACCGCAUGGUUUGAAGAGGAAAAGAGGCGCAAGCUUCUGCUGAUGGAUGGACCCGCGGUGCAUUAGCUAGUUGGUGAGGUAACGGCCCACCAAGGCCGUGAUGCAUAGCCGACCUGAGAGGGUGAUCGGCCACAUUGGGACUGAGACACGGCCCAAACUCCUACGGGAGGCAGCAGUAGGGAAUCUUCCGCAAUGGACGCAAGUCUGACGGAGCGACGCCGCGUGAGUGAAGAAGGUUUUCGGAUCGUAAAACUCUGUUGUUAGAGAAGAACAAGUGCUAGAGUAACUGUUAGCGCCUUGACGGUAUCUAACCAGAAAGCCACGGCUAACUACGU
This 497-nucleotide ribosomal RNA is filed under the name uncultured bacterium. Its description in RNAcentral is "partial 16S ribosomal RNA". It matches the Rfam family "Bacterial small subunit ribosomal RNA", at positions 28 to 506 of the family's 1533-position model. The record is from RNAcentral.